RNAcentral lists this ribosomal RNA (253 nucleotides) under uncultured bacterium. RNAcentral's name for it is "partial 16S ribosomal RNA". It matches the Rfam family "Bacterial small subunit ribosomal RNA", at positions 524 to 776 of the family's 1533-position model. The record is from RNAcentral.
GACACAGGGUGCAAACGUUGUUCGGAAUUACUGGGCGUAAAGCGCGUGUAGGCGGCCCUGCAAGUCGGAUGUGAAAUCCCACGGCUCAACCGUGGAAGUGCAUUCGAAACUGCAGGGCUAGAGUCCUGGAGAGGAAGGUGGAAUGCUUGGUGUAGAGGUGAAAUUCGUAGAUAUCAAGCGGAACACCGGUGGCGAAGGCGGCCUUCUGGACAGUGACUGACGCUGAGACGCGAAAGCGUGGGGAGCAAACAGG